Long non-coding RNA from Balaenoptera ricei (Rice's whale), 3180 nucleotides. RefSeq lists it as uncharacterized. The record is from RefSeq and is a predicted model, not a curated record. The transcript has 4 exons. NCBI's taxonomy places the organism in Eukaryota, Metazoa, Chordata, Mammalia, Artiodactyla, Balaenopteridae.
AUUUGUCUUUCUCUGUCUGACUUACUUCACUGAGUAUGAUCAUCUCUGGGUCCACCCAUGUUGCUGCCAAUGGCAUGAUUUCAUUCUUUUUCAUGGCUGAGUAAUAUUCCACUGUGUGUAUAGGUACCACAUCUUCUUUAUCCAUUCCUCUGUUGAUAGGCACUUAGGUUGCUUCCACGUCUCAGCUGUUGUAAACAGUCUGUAACAGGGUCUCCAGAAGGACUCCCAGGGAACAUGGCAUGGGGUAAAAGUCAAGUCAGCUCUCAGCCAGGCACAACCGCACAGCCAGGGGCACUCAGGGGUGAGUCCAUGAUUUAAAACUAAAGCUGUGGAAGGUAGUUUUCAGGGCGGUGGGAGGGUCGUCUGUGGGUCCGGCUGUGCCACUCCGUCUCCUUGGGAUUCCAUUUGGAUGUGUGUCCUCACCUGUGGUUCAGUUGUACAGGUUUUCCUUUAGAAACUGUGCCUGCAGAUUCCAGAUGUGGUGACAGGCAAUGCUGCUUCUCAGGCACCUGUGGGAUCCGGACGCUGCUGGCGGCCCCUCGGUGUGCGCCUGCCCUUCCCACAGGGCUGCCCCACCUGUCACGGCCAUCGGCUGGACCCCAGUGGCCGUGUCGAGAGUGCUCACGGCUGGUGGGCAGGACUCUGCUUUACAUCAUCGCCCACCACCUGCCUCUGCUUUACAUCGCCCACCACCUGCCUCUGCUUUACAUCGCCCACCACCUGCCUCUGCUGGAUGCCCGCCCGGAUGGUGGGAACACAUUGCACACUGGGAAAAAGGAGAACAAUUUAUGCAGGAAAUUGCAGUUCCCUGAAGAUCCGGGUAACCCCAUGGAAGUGUACCCCAGAAAGGCCACUCACCCUGGCUUGUGUUAGGGUGAGACAAAGGUGUGAGACCCACUUCCUCAGCCACAGAAAUCAAUUCCCAACGUCUGGAUUUCAGAUUCCACAGAUAAGUGAGACCCUACAGUGUUUGCCUUUCUCCAUCUGACGUACUUCACUUUGGAGGGAGCGACAGGUUUUGGAGCUUCCAUAAAGGCUGCUUCCCUUCAGACUAAAGACGUUGAAGGCCACGUAUCACUUUCCUUAAGACUCCUCCUCAGGACCCCAUCGCUGGAGACCGGCUGGACGCUGUCGUGUCACAGUGAGUUAGAUCCCACCUCUGCUCCACAGAGCCCACCUUCAAGGGGAGGGGGCACCAAAAUCAGACAAACAUCACAACCUAAUUUCAAACGCUCAUCCGUAUUAAGAAACACACCCUAAGGACAGGAGGAAAUGAAAAGGCGCUUGUAGGACCCUGUGAUAGGAAACGGGAGAUGCUCCGUGGACAGACAGUACAUCACCUUCGUCAUCAUGUCCAUCCCCGGGGGUCCGUCCACGCGGCUUUUCGUGCUUCUCGAAGCCCUUCCCUGAUGACCCUGUGCCUCCCUGCGGUGCUUGGUGAGGGGGACAUCCAUCCUCACGGACACUGAGCCAGCCUGCAGGUCUGAAGCUCAUUCUCAGCUUUCCACACCCGCGGAUGAGCUGAGCUUCCUCGUGGAAAAGAGAAGAAAAGGAAGGGACACUUCUCGGCACCAACUUCCCCCAAAUCCUGGAUCUCCAGGUCUGCAACCUCAGCAAGUACCCUCUGAACUACCCUGACCCCCACGGGCUGAGUAAUGACACAUGGCCCCAGGGAGGGAGGGGCCAGUUGCUAAGUAGACCUUACAUCCUGUGGGGACAGCCCUGAUGAGUCUUGCCAUCCUUACCCGGUUCCCUCUGGGUCCAGAAACAGUCGUGACAAACCUGCACAUUGCUGAGCCCCGGGCGUCUGCACUUCUGUUCAUUCCAGAUCCCUUCCUGUUCUAGAAUUCAGAAUCUGAUCAUAAAUCCACCAUCCCUUAUUUGGUCGGACCGGUAGAGCCAUAAUAACCCCACUUAACUGUUUUUCCCCUGGGGUCCAUUUUUAGGUCAUCCCCAUCCUGUGAUCUGCAUCAGUGUUCUCUACAAUCUCGGGUUUUCCGAGGAAUGACUCGUAAGCAGCAUCUUGGGAAAUCCACCCCCAAUAAUGCCCUCCCAGGAACAGUUACCGUGGGUCCAAAGAGCUGGUUUCUCCUGGGGUCCAUAUUUACGUCGGGAUAACACAGGCGUCCCGUCCGUUCUGUGGUUGUGAGAUGUUGUCAGGAAGGGUGGACCACAUACGCUGACCUGUGACACAUUGUUUCCUUGGUGGCGUUUCUUCUAGUUACGAUUUCACGUCCCUAGUGACUCAUCAGGAUCCCAGACAUCUCGUGACAAAAAUCUCAGGCAAUCAGAGAGAAGGAAAGGUUUGUGAUGGACACUGCUGAAUCCUUGACGUAUUAAAGGCUGUCGGCGCUGCCCUGACAUCCUCGAGUGGCACUGCUUCCUGCGUUCGAGUCCCUUGGUUCUUUCAAGAAAAUAUCAGAGAAUCCAUAUCAGACAGUGUCAUUGCUGGAUUUUUCUACCCCCGAACAUUUGAGACGGUGAUUAUAGGCAUUAGAAUAUAAUAAGAUGGGCACUUAACAGGUAGGUCAUGACACUAAUCAUCUAAUUAUUUUGCCUUAUUAACUCAUGUCCUUGAUUAGCAACUGACCAGGCUUGGCUGUGAUGGCUGUUUUUCAGUGAUACCAGGAGACAGAUGGUCUGUUCAAAGAAGGUAAUGGCUUUACACUAUUUUUCAGAGGUUCCCCAAUAGAAAUCACUUGAUGUCUCCAUCAAACGGCUGCAGCAUUUACUUAGCUGACUCAGAUUCCCCUGGGAAGCGGUCUGCUCCUCUCCUGGAGAUUCAGGAUACAGGAACCGGCAGAUCCUCACUAUGUCGGUGACAAUGACACAAAUCUGGAUUAACUUUCUGAGCUGCCAGUUGCGUCACAGGUCCCAUCUCCAUCACUAACCACCUUCCAGGCAACCUCCCAAAACUGGGUGCACAUGCCACUAUCGUACACAGGCACCCACACAUAGAGACACACCUGCACGCACACAGACGAGAUUCAGACGGAAACACAUAAAGACACAUACAUGUACAGACUCAGACACAUGCAAACACGCACAGAGGGACUCCCAUGUACACACACAGUGCCUGAGUUCUGUAGAAUCCAGAAAACAACAUCUUGCCUUCUAUUUACCCACGUUCAAAAACUAAAGAUUUCUUUAUACCCUCCCAUUUUUUAAAUGAAAAUACAG